GUAAAGCGGUAUAGCAACUUCACCACAGCCUGAUAACAACGUUUCCUGAUGGCCUAUAAAUUGCAGUUUAUAGCCCUAUACAUCAUCUGAUAAGUAGGUAGUUAAGAUAAACUAAUGCUUUAAAUUUUGAGUUGCAAUCAGUCUCUUUUGAGCUCUUUGACAAGAUUACAGAAAGCAUACACACAGAGGUCAAUACAAGUGAGAACAAAGGUUGUUUGAUACUGCAACUUGAGGGAACAAAAGUAGUAAAAUGGCCGAAGGUCGUUCUCAUCAUCAUGGGCUUUUUCAAGAAUUUAUUGACGGCAGUCUGAAAGACGAAGAUGGCAAAAUAGUUACUGUAACCCCAACUGAGAAGAAACGGUUUUAUAAAGUUAUUAACGAAGAUAAAUAUACAGUCACUGCUUUCUGCAAACUGACCUUCAACAAAAAACACAAGAAAAAAGACAAGGUUGACCCAGGGAAAGAUUACGGCUUUAAAAAAUCUACUAAGGAUGGAACACAUGCCGAGGAAUUUGUUAUUGAAAAAAUCAAGAAGAUCAUUGGCGUAGAUCAAUCACUGAAAUCCCUCUCACUUGUGAUGAACAUCAGCCUAACCCCAUGCAAAAAUUGUCGAGACUUGCUCAAGGACUAUUUAAAAUAUUUAAAAUGCGAGACUAUAACAUUCGUACUACGAUUUGCCUACAUCUACGACACUGAGCUACGUUCACAUGAAGAAAGGAUUAAGGCAAUUUCCAAAUGGAUGGUUGAUUUAAAUGAUAUAUCCGAAGUCACUGCUUCAAUGGAAGCUAUCGAAGUAGCCAGAGAACUAGAUUAUUUAUCUAAAGAAGAAAAGGAUGCUAUUGCUAGGCAGGAAGACGAAGGUGAACAUAAAGUUAAUAGGGAAAAACAUGCUGAGGAGAUCAAAAUCGCUAUAGAAAAGAGAAAACUAGCAAGGGAUACAAAACUAGCAAGGGAUACAAAACUAGCAACGGAGAAACUAGCAGCAUUAAAGGUGAAAGACAAAAGCUAGCAGUUUAGAACAAGAGCAUUAAUGCUUGGUGUGUGUUAAUUAUGAGUACACCUACGUAUAAUAGCUAGAUAAAAAACAAUACCAAUAGUUUGCAACGCUAUUAAUGGAUAAUUUUUUGCUGCUCUAAA
Molecule: long non-coding RNA, 1137 nt
Organism: Halichondria panicea
Lineage: Eukaryota; Metazoa; Porifera; Demospongiae; Suberitida; Halichondriidae
Exons: 2
Source: RefSeq, a predicted model, not a curated record